ACUGAUGGGACCCAUAAAUGAAUAUUGACAUAAUUAGGCUGUAAAUGGUAACCAAUCUUCCCCCUAAAAAUAAGGGCCAUGUCUCUGACCAAAAGGGAUAUAAUAUAUGGCUGGUGGGGUGAGAGAGAGAGAUGAAAGUGGUGGCAGAGACCAGCAGACUGUUCGUUGGAUGUAAUAACAAGAGAGGCAUCCAUACAUAAGAUACAGAUGAUGCUGAAUUGUUUCUGCCACUGCAGAAAAAAAUGAGAUCAGGGAGCUUUUAAGCUUACCUUCUUCAGGGGUGUGGGGCUGCCUGCCGUGCUCCAGAUGAACGAACACCCAACGCCGCCAGCGCCACCACCGCCUCCACCACUGCUGCUGCCGAUCUAGGUAGAAAUGGACACUACAAUAAUGGUAAUGUUUCAAGUGGAAUAUUCAGAUCAAAAGAACAUGAAAAAAUCGGAAAUGGUAGGUAAAAAUCAAAGCAGAGAGGCAGACUGUUUUUCUGGAAGAGAAAAAACAAUAUGCAUGUGCUAACUGCUAUAAUGAAUAUUGCAAAUUAUAUGAAUAAAUUAUCCUGAAAGUGUUUCUUACAAAUACCAAUGUGUACGGCUGGAAGUGUAUUACAGAACUCCUAUUAUCGAAUCGAUUU
Long non-coding RNA from Andrographis paniculata, 631 nucleotides. RefSeq lists it as uncharacterized. Lineage: Eukaryota; Viridiplantae; Streptophyta; Magnoliopsida; Lamiales; Acanthaceae. The transcript is spliced from 2 exons. The record is from RefSeq and is a predicted model, not a curated record.